RNAcentral lists this ribosomal RNA (897 nucleotides) under uncultured Lecanicillium. RNAcentral describes it as "SSU rRNA". It matches the Rfam family "Eukaryotic small subunit ribosomal RNA", at positions 156 to 1063 of the family's 1831-position model. The record is from RNAcentral. Lineage: Eukaryota; Fungi; Ascomycota; Sordariomycetes; Hypocreales; Cordycipitaceae.
UUCUAGAGCUAAUACAUGCUAAAAAUCCCGACUUUGGAAGGGAUGUAUUUAUUAGAUUAAAAACCAAUGCCCUCUGGGCUCCUUGGUGAUUCAUGAUAACUUUUCGAAUCGCACGGCCUUGCGCCGGCGAUGGUUCAUUCAAAUUUCUUCCCUAUCAACUUUCGAUGUUUGGGUAUUGGCCAAACAUGGUCGCAACGGGUAACGGAGGGUUAGGGCUCGACCCCGGAGAAGGAGCCUGAGAAACGGCUACUACAUCCAAGGAAGGCAGCAGGCGCGCAAAUUACCCAAUCCCGAUUCGGGGAGGUAGUGACAAUAAAUACUGAUACAGGGCUCUUUUGGGUCUUGUAAUUGGAAUGAGUACAAUUUAAAUCCCUUAACGAGGAACAAUUGGAGGGCAAGUCUGGUGCCAGCAGCCGCGGUAAUUCCAGCUCCAAUAGCGUAUAUUAAAGUUGUUGUGGUUAAAAAGCUCGUAGUUGAACCUUGGGCCUGGCUGGCCGGUCCGCCUCACCGCGUGUACUGGUCCGGCCGGGCCUUUCCCUCUGUGGAACCUCAUGCCCUUCACUGGGUGUGGCGGGGAAACAGGACUUUUACUUUGAAAAAAUUAGAGUGCUCCAGGCAGGCCUAUGCUCGAAUACAUUAGCAUGGAAUAAUGAAAUAGGACGUGUGGUUCUAUUUUGUUGGUUUCUAGGACCGCCGUAAUGAUUAAUAGGGACAGUCGGGGGCAUCAGUAUUCAAUUGUCAGAGGUGAAAUUCUUGGAUUUAUUGAAGACUAACUACUGCGAAAGCAUUUGCCAAGGAUGUUUUCAUUAAUCAGGAACGAAAGUUAGGGGAUCGAAGACGAUCAGAUACCGUCGUAGUCUUAACCAUAAACUAUGCCGACUAGGGAUCGGACGAUGU